Molecule: ribosomal RNA, 254 nt
Filed under: uncultured bacterium
Lineage: Bacteria
Description: partial 16S ribosomal RNA
Rfam family: Bacterial small subunit ribosomal RNA
Source: RNAcentral
UACGAAGGGGGCGAGCGUUGUCGGAUUUACUGGGCGUAAAGGGCGCGUAGGCGGAUCUUUUAAGUCGGGGGUGAAAGCCUGAGGCUCAACCUCAGAAUUGCCUUCGAUACUGGAGAUCUUGAGACCGGGAAGAGGUAAGUGGAACUGCGAGUGUAGAGGUGAAAUUCGUAGAUAUUCGCAAGAACACCAGUGGCGAAGGCGGCUUACUGGUCCGGUUCUGACGCUGAGGCGCGAAAGCGUGGGGAGCAAACAGG